CUCUGCCUAAAGCCAAGAACAAAGAAAUCAACAGAAACAUUGGCUUUAUGUAGUCAAAGUCUUACCCUUGAAACAUCUGCAGGAUGAAGAGGUUUAAAAAACAGUGUUCUCUACAGUCAAGUGUAUCUGAAGGACAAAAUAAGAACAGGACAUUGACAAGGUUGGGAAGAACCGAAGUCAUCCUUUUGUCCCUCUUGAAAGGUGAAGGUCCUGAGGUCAGAGAGGUGGCUGGAUUUGUUGAAAUCUCAGAGCAGUUUAGAAGACUAUUUUCAAGAACUGUGUUGGGAGGCUGCCACGUGUCUGACUUAGAGCCAAGAUGGGCACAAGAAUGGAGAAUAAGACCCAGUUUGUGCCAGGAGAUUUUUUUAUUUGAAUUAGAAACAAGAUUGUUUUAUAUGACAAUACCAGUUCCCUUGUCUCUCCUGUCCUCCCCUACCACCCCCUCCCCCACUAAAACCCUACCUAUCACAUAUCCUUUCUGCUCCCUCUGGAUGGUGAGGCCUUCCAUAGGGUGUCAUCAGAGUCUAUCUUAUCCUUUGGGAUAGGGCCUAGGACCACCCCCGUGUGUCUCGGCUCAGGGAGUAUUCCUCUAAGAGGAAUGGGCUCCCAAAGUCCACACCUAUGCUAGGGAUAAGUACUGAACUACUACAGGAGGCCUGUAGAUUUCUGAGGUUUCCUCACUGAAACCCAUGUUCCUGGAGUCAGGUUCAAUCCCAUACUGGUAUCCCAGCUAUCAGUCUGGGGAGCAAAAGUUCCCUGAUGUUCAGGUCAGCCAUUUCUGUGGGUUUCACCAGCCUGGCUGGACCCCUUUGCUCUUCACUCGUCCUCUGCAUCUGGAUUCUAGUUCAGUUCAGUGAUUAGUUGUGGGUGUCUGCUUCUACAACCGUCUCCUUUUUCAUAUGGAUUUUCUCACUUGCCCAUGGUGCUGCUGCUAUUCUCAGAAAGUGGACCAAAGAGAUCAAUAGUUCAGGCUUCUCAAGUUUUGCACACUAAGCUUGGAACUUUGCACACAAACAGAUACCCAAGCACACUGUUUUCCCCUUCUGCACAACCAAACUUAGAAACAUAAAGACCAAGAUUGAAUUGUCAGGGGGUCUGGGCCCAACCAUCAUCGGCUGACACUGGGGCUUCCUUUCAUAAGGGUCUUUGCCACAGGAGCACUGGGAGAGUUCUGAGAAAGAGACCCUAUUGGAGGAUCUCCCUGUUGUGGUAAGGUAAGCUUGACAGGCACCUGAGGACUGACUGGGAUGCAUGUUCUAUAAGCAUCCACCUGGAAGACACAUUUGAAAGGAAGAGGCCAAUGAAGGGCACGUUGCAGCAGUGCAUUCAGCUGGUGCCUGGUCCACUCCCUGGUCCUUUGGUGUGUUCUGACUUGUAGCUGAAGUGAAGUGACAAGGACUUAACUUUGCACAUCCAGCAGCCAAUGGCAAAUAACUGACAGAAGUCAAUACACAAAUGUUUGCCUUUGAAGCAAAGAGCUCUGGCAGUAUUUCCUAUUGUUGCUCUAAAAAUAUGACCAAAUACCCUCAAUGAUGAAAGAAACAUAACUAUAUUAUCUUAGAGCUUUGAAGAUCAUACUUUUGAAGUGGUUCUUAUUGGGUUAAUAUCAAGGUGUUGGUGAAGCUGAUCUACUUUUGGGGGCUCUUGAGAAUAAUUUAUUCAUCUGCCUCCCUGGUGGCAUCUGGAUGCUGUUUGUAUUCCUUGGAUUUGUAAUUUUUUUUUUUUUGAGACGGGAUACCAUGUAGCCCAGUUUUGCCUUGAACUCUCGUUGUAGCCAAGGCUACCCUGGAACUAUGGAUCUACUUGCCUCAACCUCCCAAAUGGGGGGGCAGUUUACAGGUAUACAUCACCAACCCUGGCUUCCUUGGCGCUUCCUUGGCCCUGCCUUCAUCUUCAAAGUUAGCAGGGUAAUAACUUCAACUUUCUCUGCGACUCUGACCUGAUGUCUCUCUCUUAAAAAGCCCUUGGAAUAUUUUUUGGGUCUACUUAGGU
RNAcentral lists this long non-coding RNA (1992 nucleotides) under Cricetulus griseus (Chinese hamster). Its description in RNAcentral is "lncRNA (ENSCGRG00000026619.1)". The record is from RNAcentral. Lineage: Eukaryota; Metazoa; Chordata; Mammalia; Rodentia; Cricetidae.